RNAcentral lists this ribosomal RNA (100 nucleotides) under Flaviramulus multivorans. RNAcentral's name for it is "partial 16S ribosomal RNA". It matches the Rfam family "Bacterial small subunit ribosomal RNA", at positions 1 to 99 of the family's 1533-position model. Lineage: Bacteria; Pseudomonadati; Bacteroidota; Flavobacteriia; Flavobacteriales; Flavobacteriaceae. The record is from RNAcentral.
ACGAUGAAGAGUUUGAUCCUGGCUCAGGAUGAACGCUAGCGGCAGGCCUAACACAUGCAAGUCGAGGGGUAACGGGGUGCUUGCACCGCCGACGACCGGC